RNAcentral lists this ribosomal RNA (520 nucleotides) under salal root associated fungus UBCtra1086.12. RNAcentral describes it as "eukaryotic LSU rRNA". It matches the Rfam family "Eukaryotic large subunit ribosomal RNA", at positions 22 to 548 of the family's 3401-position model. The record is from RNAcentral. Lineage: Eukaryota; Fungi; Ascomycota.
UACCCGCUGAACUUAAGCAUAUCAAUAAGCGGAGGAAAAGAAACCAACAGGGAUUCCUAGUAACGGCGAGUGAAGCGGUAACAGCUCAAAUUUGAAAUCUGACCUUCACGGGUCCGAGUUGUAAUUUGUAGAGGAUGUUUCGGAUAAGGCUUUGGUUUAAGUUUCUUGGAACAGAACGUCAUAGAGGGUGAGAGUCCCGUCUAGAACCGAUAGCCGCGUUCAUGUGAAACUCCUUCGACGAGUCGAGUUGUUUGGGAAUGCAGCUCAAAAUGGGUGGUAAAUUUCAUCUAAAGCUAAAUAUUGGCCAGAGACCGAUAGCGCACAAGUAGAGUGAUCGAAAGAUGAAAAGCACUUUGAAAAGAGAGUUAAACAGUAUGUGAAAUUGUUGAAAGGGAAGCGCUUGCAACCAGACUUGUGUUUAACGGUUCCCCUGUGUCUUUUGACCAGGCUAUUCCGUUAUAUCCAGGCCAGCAUCGGUUCGGGUGGUUGGUUAAAGGCCUUGGGAAUGUAUCUACCUUCG